GCCCUGCUAGCUCAAUCGGUAGAGCGUGAGACUUUUAUAUAAGCGGGAUUAUUAAUUGGUCACGUGACCGCAAUCUCAAGGCUGCGGGUUCGAGCCCCGCGUGGGGCU
Molecule: non-coding RNA, 108 nt
Organism: Ceratobasidium sp. AG-I
Lineage: Eukaryota; Fungi; Basidiomycota; Agaricomycetes; Cantharellales; Ceratobasidiaceae
Source: the annotation of a GenBank genome assembly